CACAGAGGUCUCAAGCGUUGUUCGGAUUCAUUGGGCGUAAAGGGUGCGUAGGUGGCGGGGUAAGUCAGGUGUGAAAUCUCGAGGCUCAACCUCGAAACUGCACUUGAUACUGCCUUGCUCGAGUACUGGAGAGGAGAUUGGAAUUUACGGUGUAGCAGUGAAAUGCGUAGAUAUCGUAAGGAAGACCAGUGGCGAAGGCGAAUCUCUGGACAGUUACUGACACUGAGGCACGAAGGCCAGGGGAGCAAACGGG
RNAcentral lists this ribosomal RNA (253 nucleotides) under uncultured bacterium. RNAcentral's name for it is "partial 16S ribosomal RNA". It matches the Rfam family "Bacterial small subunit ribosomal RNA", at positions 524 to 776 of the family's 1533-position model. The record is from RNAcentral.